GCUCAGGAUGAACGCUAGCUACAGGCUUAACACAUGCAAGUCGAGGGGUAGCAGGGUAGCAAUACCGCUGACGACCGGCGCACGGGUGAGUAACACGUAUCCAACCUUCCCAUAACUCGGGGAUAGCCUUUCGAAAGAAAGAUUAAUACCUGAUAGUACUUAAGAAAGGCAUCUUUUUUAAGUUAAAGAUUUAUUGGUUAUGGAUGGGGAUGCGUUCCAUUAGAUAGUUGGUGAGGUAACGGCUCACCAAGUCUUCGAUGGAUAGGGGUUCUGAGAGGAAGGUCCCCCACAUUGGUACUGAGACACGGACCAAACUCCUACGGGAGGCAGCAGUGAGGAAUAUUGGUCAAUGGGCGAGAGCCUGAACCAGCCAAGUAG
RNAcentral lists this ribosomal RNA (378 nucleotides) under uncultured Bacteroidales bacterium. RNAcentral describes it as "bacterial SSU rRNA". It matches the Rfam family "Bacterial small subunit ribosomal RNA", at positions 22 to 399 of the family's 1533-position model. Lineage: Bacteria; Pseudomonadati; Bacteroidota; Bacteroidia; Bacteroidales. The record is from RNAcentral.